Anthonomus grandis grandis is the source of this 2650-nucleotide long non-coding RNA. RefSeq lists it as uncharacterized. Lineage: Eukaryota; Metazoa; Arthropoda; Insecta; Coleoptera; Curculionidae. The record is from RefSeq and is a predicted model, not a curated record. The transcript has 5 exons.
CAAUUUUUAUUUUCUAUAAUUUUUUUUAAAUUGAAUUCCUAAAACAUAAUAAUGUCCAAUAUAGGAAUCCAAUAUAAUGAAAUCAUUCCCUUUAGGAUAUGCUUUUAUCUAACAGGGGAGGAGUUAUACCCUCUGUACAUAAUAAAUACUUUGUAUAAACCAGACGUAGGCGGAUGCAUUGGUUGCACAGAUAAGAUUUAGUUCUUAAGCACUUUUUAAUUAUAAAUUAGAAUACCUUUAUAUUUCAUGAGAGAGGAUGUAGAAAAUAAAUUAAACAAUUCUAAAUCAUUCAGCUACAACGUUUUUUAACAAUAUAAUAAAGAAACUAAAUAACUGCAUUAUAAAAUAAAAAUAAGGAUAUUAGAAUAAUAAAAUAUAAAGCAAAUAAAUACAAGAAAAUAUAUAGUUUUUUUAAUCAUGAAAUUGUCACAAUACAAACUUUUUCAACCUCGCAAAUACAUAUACCGACUGACAUAGGAAAAAGGGAACGCCUAAUAACUAUCUUACUCUUCAACUAUUGAUAAAAAUGUUGUAAAAGCAUCUUUUGACAUAUUUAGUUCUUAUUUUAAAUGAGACAGUUGGUAUAUUAUUAUGUAUUCCGAUAGAAAUACGUAAUACUUUGUAAUACUUCCGGUUAAACAGGAAGUAGCGGAAAAUAACCGAAUAUGUCAAAAGAUGCUCUUAUAACAAUUCUAUCAGUAAUACCAAAUUUCAUUUGUUUAUCUUGAAGAGAAAAAUAGUUGUUAAGUGUUCCUUUUUCCUGGUCACCCACCCGAUAUAUGUAUGUGUUUAAUUAAGCUCUACUAAGUUAUAAUUGGUACUAUACUAAGCUUGGAUUUUAAAAUGAAAAUGAUCUUUGAAACGGCAGUGCGGUUUCUUGGAAGAGCAAUUUUUUUAACACACCUAUUCCCUGACAAAAUUCAAAUCUAAAUUAUCUUAGGAUUAGGCAUUUUAAAAUACGUACAAAAUACAUACCAAAUGUGAGGAAAUGUUAGCAUAAAAUCACAGAUAUAACCCAAUGCUUAAAAUUGCAACUAAUUUUUACGUCAUAUACAUAGAUAUUAUACAAAGAUUUAGGUUUUAGGGUUUACCUAACUACUUAUUAAAUCUGUAUAUAUCCAUAUCACCGCAGUAUAUUUUAAAUGAGACCUUAUUAUGCAUUGUAUAAAGGUGUUAUAGAAUUAAUAUUUGUGAAAUUCCUUAUAACAAAACCAAGUGCACGAUCAACUUUUGGUAAUAUUCUCAAAAUGACUAUUGAAUUUUAUAUUGCUUUGAAAAAUACUCCAACAUCCUUUAACUCUGUUCACAAAACAGAGGAUCAGUGGUUUAUUAUUUGGGAAAUAAGUGAAUUUCAUAUUGAUUUUAUUCGAUUUUGCUUAAAACAAUUUUCUACAAAAUUUACAUCUUCCAACUUCUAGAUCUUGAUGUCAUCAACAAAAAGGAAAUUUUCGCAGUGUUCGGAAGGCUAUCAAUAAAAACUAUAAAGACAACGUACUCAGAUUACUACCCUGUGGCCCAACAGAAACCCCCAGACAUUGAUCUUCCCACAAUAACAACCUGUUGUUGUGAUGUCAGGCAAAAUCAUUAUGAAUAAAUGGAAAAAUAUAAUGGAUAAUUAAGAUGUGAAAUUUUUUAAUAUUAUCCGACGCAUUCGCACCACCUCAAUGCCCAUAUAAUAUAUUAUUCAUGUUUGGGAUUUAUAUUGUAUUAACUAUGACAAAGCGUAAUAUUAUAUUAGCAUAACAAUGCAAUAAUGGGCAACAUGGGUGUUAUGGCAGCUCAUAACUCCUCCCGCUAAGAGACGAGCUUACGGAAAGCAUUGAAAUUGAAGUUACCCUAAACAUAAAUAAUAAUAUAAGCAGAGAUUGAGAGAGACCCAAAAAAGUAAAAGAGGCAGUGAGUGCUAGCACUUCGGCUUAUAAAGAGGCAGGUAUAGAGGCAGUGGUCAUAGCUGACCAGAUGUGGUGGUGUUUGUCCACUAGGUCCAUGACUAGAGUUUUAUGGUAUACCAGAGUUUGAGAGGUAUUACCAGGUUGACAGGGAUGCCCUCUGAGCGCGCAGUUUCUUCGAGUUACUGCUUAGCGGCAGUGGAGCGUCUGGGGUAGCUAACUAUUUUGAGGGGACACUAGCUAGUCGUCGAAGAAAGAAGAUAUAUAUAUAAAUUAUUAGCAAACAUAAAGUAACUAUAUUGAUGGUGGUUGGCAUGACUAAACCAAGGGGACCGAGGUUGCCCCGGUGAGUAAAAUUAAUCUUUAUUAGAUGGGUCAGUACAGUAAACCGUAAACAUUUUUGUUUCAUGGUACUCUCAAUCUCGCUGAAUGAAUUGCAUUGUCAAUACUCACGAGUGAAGUGAUACAGUGAAUAUAAAACUAUUCUUUUCGACUAAAGGCAUUUCCAGUAUAAAAAAGAUUUGAUUGAAUGUUUAGGAUAUUUUCGAUCUUUGCUUGAAACGGAAGUUUGCCAAAAGUUAUAUUUUUUUAUAUUUCUGAGAGGAAUCCCUUAGGAUUGAGUAUUGAAUUAUGAAAUGUGUUUAAUUUUGAAAAUUUUAUAGCAAUUUGUAAUUUUUCAAGAAUAUCUUAUAUUUUUUGUAAAAAUGUGGUUAGAUGUUAAGUAUAUUUGUAGUGAAAAUAAAUGUCUAGUUUCCAUGUCA